GUCUACGGCCAUGCCACUCUGAACGCGCCCGAUCUCGUCUGAUCUCGGAAGCUAAGUAGAGUCGGGCCUGGUUAGUACGUAGAUGGGAGACCACCUAGGAAGACCGGGUGCUGUAGGAG
RNAcentral lists this ribosomal RNA (119 nucleotides) under Pteropus alecto (black flying fox). The record is from RNAcentral. Lineage: Eukaryota; Metazoa; Chordata; Mammalia; Chiroptera; Pteropodidae.